GAUGAACGCUGGCGGCGUGCUUAACACAUGCAAGUCGAACGUGAGAGGUAGCAAUAUCUUGAAAGUGGCGCACGGGUGAGUAACACGUAGGUAACCUGCCUCGGAGUGGGGGAUAACAGUUAGAAAUGACUGCUAAUACCGCAUGAAUCCAUUAAGAUGGGAAUGUUGAUGGAGAAAACUCUGGUGCUUCGAGAGGGGCCUGCGGUCGAUUAGCUAGUUGGCGGGUAACGGCCCACCAAGGCGACGAUCGAUAGCUGGUCUGAGAGGACGAUCAGCCACACGGGAACUGAGACACGGUCCCGACUCCUACGGGGGGCAGCAGUGAGGAAUAUUGGGCAAUGGGCGGAAGCCUGACCCAGCAACGCCGCGUGGAGGAAUGAAGGCCUUCGGGUUGUAAACUCCUUUUGCAGGGGAAGAGGAAGGACGGUACCCUGCGAAUAAGUACACGGCUAACUACGUGCCAG
Molecule: ribosomal RNA, 464 nt
Filed under: uncultured bacterium
Lineage: Bacteria
Description: bacterial SSU rRNA
Rfam family: Bacterial small subunit ribosomal RNA
Source: RNAcentral